This 174-nucleotide small nuclear RNA is filed under the name Oryza glumipatula. RNAcentral's name for it is "U2 spliceosomal RNA". It matches the Rfam family "U2 spliceosomal RNA". From Rfam's summary of the family: U2 is a small nuclear RNA (snRNA) component of the spliceosome (involved in pre-mRNA splicing). Complementary binding between U2 snRNA (in an area lying towards the 5' end but 3' to hairpin I) and the branchpoint sequence (BPS) of the intron results the bulging out of an unpaired adenosine, on the BPS, which initiates a nucleophilic attack at the intronic 5' splice site, thus starting the first of two transesterification reactions that mediate splicing. The record is from Rfam by way of RNAcentral. Lineage: Eukaryota; Viridiplantae; Streptophyta; Magnoliopsida; Poales; Poaceae.
AUACUUUUCUCAGCCUUUUGACUAAGAUCAAGUGUAGUAUCUGUUCUUAUUAGUUUAAUAUAUGAUACGUGGGCCAUGUGUCCACGGAUAUUAAAUUAGUAUUUUGUGUGAAAGGGCCCAACACGGACCCAUGAUAUUUGCUAAUGAUGGAUUAAUUAGGCUUAAUAAAUUUGU